Non-coding RNA from Monodelphis domestica (gray short-tailed opossum), 631 nucleotides. NCBI's taxonomy places the organism in Eukaryota, Metazoa, Chordata, Mammalia, Didelphimorphia, Didelphidae. The record is from the annotation of a RefSeq genome assembly.
CCCUGGGUGACGUCUCAGCUGGGCUGGGCCAAGUGACUCCAACAACCCCCCUGCAUGAAGGGCUGCCCCCCCGGGACCCCGAGAGAGGAUGCAGGUGGGGUCUGGAGGAGGCUGGAGCAGGCCCAGAUUUGCAUCAAUCCCCGCCUGCCCAUCAGCCACCAUCACAGGGUAACCAGGAGAGAAUAAGAGGGAGCUGAGAGAGGCCAGACUCAGCUGGGAGCUCUUUGAAGCUGAGCUCUCGGGUCCUCUCGCCAUGGCCUGGCCUCUCGUCUGUCUCUCACUGCUCUCCUUCUGCUCAGGCUCCCUCUCCCAGGCUGUGCUGACUCAGCCUCCCUCUGUGUCUGCAGCCCUGGGGAGCUCGGCCAGACUCUCCUGCACCCUGAGCAGUGGGAACAGUGGUAAUGAUGUUGGUUGGCACCAGCAGAGCCCAGGAAAGCCCCCUCGGUACCUCCUGUAUGUCACCAGCAGUGGAGGUACAGGCAGGGGCGACGGGAUCCCUGAGCGCUUCUCUGGCUCCGGAUCUGGGACUAACCGAUUCCUGUCCAUCAGCAAUGUCGAGCCCGAGGAUGAAGCCGAUUAUUUCUGCCAGUCAUAUUAUGGCAGUGGUAGUAGCUUUCGUUUUACACAGUGA